This is a long non-coding RNA of Equus caballus (horse), 12525 nucleotides long. The record is from Ensembl. Lineage: Eukaryota; Metazoa; Chordata; Mammalia; Perissodactyla; Equidae.
UUAUUUUACCAGCAAAAUCAGUUUAUUUGGGAAUAGGAAAGGAAUUGCAAUUUGGGACAAGCACACUAUAGCAAAAGCCACAGUCAAGUCUAGCACACAAAGGAGAGGGACUUUAUUUUAUAGAGAAAAAGGAGGAAGUUGGGAGGGUUGUUUUGAACAGAAGCCCAUUGGUGGAAAACAAGGUCUUGUUCAGGGUGGUGACUGUUUCUCGUUGGCUGGGUUGCUGGAGUGGUCUUUCUUGUCUGGAAGGCAGUGGACGUCUCUUCCGGGGCCUGUGACGGACGAUCUUUCCUGGAAUUGACGCAGAGCGGUAGUGCUGAGGGCUCCCCCUUCUGGCCUCCCCACUCCAUUUUGUGUAAGGUUUCCCUUUAUUAAUUUUCACACCUUGAAGAGUCUGUUGAUAGAAACAGAGACAUUCAAGGCGAUUCUGUGAGAGCUUCUGAAAGAGUCAGGAGGGCUGUAAGAAAGCGUCUGUUCCCUUAAGGAACAUGUAUAUUAUCUGCACAGAAUGUUGGUGUGGGGCCUGGUUUACGAACGCUGAAGGUGCUGCUGGGGAGGCUUUCGAGGAAAUGAUGAACACGUUAUUGGACACUGGCAGAAAAGCAGUGCUUGUUAUAAAGUGACGGAAACUUGGCAGAAUUGUGUUCUGUUGUCAGGUAGAAAGUAGAACUUACAAGGGGUGAACUUGGAUAUUUUGGUGAGGAGAUUGCCUAGCAAAAUGUGGAAGGUGCAGCCUGGUUUCUCUUUCCUGCUUAUAGGAAAAUGCAAGAGGAAAGAGGUAAAUGGAGGAAUGAAUUGCCGGAGAGAUUAGGAGUGUGACUUGCAGAUCUAACCAACCGUUUCCACAGAAACCCUGCCAGCGGGACUGAAGUAGGAGAGAAAACAGAGAUACAGAGACACACAGCAACACGGGAGAAGGCCGUGUGAAGAUGGAGACAGAGACGGGACUGAUGCGCCUGCAAGCCAAGGAUUGCCCAGGGUGGCCAGCAGCUGGUGGAAGCUAGGAAAGAAGCGUGGAAGUAUAACCGAAAGUUCAGUCCCUGAACCCGAUGCCAAUUCAAAUAACGAGAACGGUCUUGAGUGGAAGAGGAAAGUCUUUACUAUGCCAGGCACAGGGAGCAAAGCAAGGGCUCAUGCCUCAGAAAUUGCUGGCUCCCCGACAAGGAAUGGGUAGGGGUUUUUAUUUGGGGUUUUGGGUAGGUGAGGGGGAACACGUAGCUUGUGCAGCUCGGUGCUUUUCCACCAGCCUGCGUUUGGCCUUGAGAGGCUGCUUGCAGUGAGGCGGGGGUGGGGGGUGGGGGGAUAGGAGGAUGGCAGGUGGGCGUCCUUCAUCGUUGUCUCUUGUCUCGUCUUCCUGUUUGAGGCAGGUUCGUGCGCCGGGAGUGAGGAGUUGAGGUCUGGGAAGCCUGCCCUCCUUGAUAUUCUUGAGACAGCGGCUUUCCUGGCAGACUUCAAGGACAUAUGAUCAGCUAAACUUUAGUGUGCCUCCCAUUCCAGGCCACCUGGGCUUUUCACAAUUUGUAACUCCCAUUUAGUUAUAAAGCUCAAGGAGGCAAAGGUUAAAGAAAGAGGUGUUUACAUAUGAGCGGAGCUAGAGAAGCAGGAAAGGGGGUGGGGGGGUUAGUUUUAACCCCAUAUACGCUGCGUUCAAUGUGGGGGAACAGAUAUCAGGGCUCAUGUUAAGAGCCUGUAGCAGAAAUCUCUGUCAGAGGCUCCAGUAGGAACCAACCCUGUCAGCACCUCGAUUUUAGACUUCCAGCCUCUAGAGCUCUGAGAGAAUAGAUGUCUGUUGUUUUAAACCCCCAGGCUGUGGCAGUUUGUCAUGGCAGCCCUAGGACACUAACACACAGACUUUUAGAAGUAAUGACAUGGCAAUGACCUUUGGGGAGGCAGGCACGUGAAAGGCAGGCACGUGAAAGGGUGGACAGCAGUAAGCUCCUGGAGGACAAUUUGGGCAAUAUCCAUAAAAAUGGACAGGCAUGCGCCACUGACAAAGUAACCCUACUUCACUGUUGGUCACAUACAUUGUAACGUUGUUUGAAACAAUAAGCAGGAGUCUGGAUAGAUAUAUUAUGGAACAUCCUUUCAAUGCAAUACCUCACAUAAAGAACACAACAGUGUAACAUUUCAUUUCUUCAAAAAAGAGAUUUGAGGCACAUAUGGUGAAAUGUUUUUUAGAAUAAAAUCACAUCAUGGGGAUGCAAUAGCAAGAUAUAUAAUGGGGGGCCAGCACCCUGGCCAAGGGGUUAAGUUCGUGCUCUCUGCUUCGGCAGCCCGGGAUUUCGCUGGUUCAGAUCCUGGGCGCAGACAUGGCGCCGCUCAUCAGGCCAUACUGAGGAGGCGUCCCACGUGUCACAACUAGAAGGAACCGCAACUAAAAAUAUACAACUAUGUGCUGGAGAACUUUGGGGAGAAGAAGAAGAAGAAGAAAGAUUGGCAACAGAUGUUAGCUCAGGUGCCAAUCUUUAAAAAAAUAUAUAGCUCUAUCUAUCUAUCUAUCUAUCUAUCUAUCUAUCUAUUUAUCUAUCUAUCUACACACACACACACGCAUACACGCACAAUGUUGCGGAGACCUCCAUAGGACAAACUAUCCAAUUUCUUAAACAAGUAAAUUACAAGGAAGGAAAAAACAGAGGAAUGAGACACCUAUAGCUUAAAAGAGAUUGAAAAGGAUUCUGUUCCUGCUGUGCCAGAGUAAGCACCUACUGGAACUGACCUGUCUGCAGAGAACUAGAAACUCUGAACAAAAUUAAAUAAAACAAAGCAAUGACCAUAAGAUACUAGAGAGCGAAGAGUCUCUGGAGAGUAGUCGACACCGGAGAGAAGGGCUAACUUGGAAUGAAUUUCCUGUUUCUAUAGCUUUUAGCUUAAAGGUGAGCAAUAGUCCGUGUGGCAUGGGGUGGCUAAAACUCCAAUAAAAACCCUGCAGUCUUUCUGACCUCAACACCUGGAGGACAGAGUUCAGGCAAACCACAGCUGCUAGAAAGUGAGCAAGGGAUUCUGGAAAAAAGAGGAGACAGAGAAAAGAAGCCCUAAAUUCUCCUGUAAGGAGCCCGUAUAGACGGUUCCCCAGUCUCUGGCUUAUCCCUGAACGGCGCCUGCGCCGGCAGGCUCGAAGCAGCCCAGCAAAGAAUAGAGAACUGAACUGAGAUUUGAGCAGCCAUCCAAAAAGACAGAAUCUAAAGUCUGAGUUCAAGUGAGCAGGUUAAUUGUCUACUAAAAAAGACAGUUUUUUCUAAGACACUCUUCAGAAGACUGUAACAGAGUUUAGAGUCUCCACGACAUACCAGUCACAUUAUCUACGUCACAAUAAAAAAUUACUCCACUCUGAAGAGCCGGGAAGAAAUGACCCAUUCUCAAGAGAGGAAAGCAUCCUUAGAGACUACUCCCAAGAUGACCCAGAUAUUAUAUAGCAGACAAGAAUUUUAAGGCAGUGAUCACAGUUAUGCUCAAUGAUGUAAAGAAGAAGUCAGCAAAUUUUUUCUGUAGAAGGUCAGAUAGCAAAUGUUUUUGGCUUUGUGAGUCACACAGGAUCUCUGUUGCAACUGCUCAACCCUGAAAUUGUACUGUGAAAGCAGUCAUAAGAUAGUGUGUGUAAACAAAAGAUAUAGCUGCUUUUCAGUAAAACUUUAUUUACAAAAACAGACAGUGAGCCAAAUUAAAUCCACAGACUGUCAUUUGCUGACCCCUGACAUAAAGAAAAAUAUCUCACAAUGAAUGAAAAGAUAGGAAACCUCAGCAGAGAAAUAAAAACUAAAAAAAGAACCAAGAGGAAAUUCCACAACUGAAAAACAGGAUGCCUAACAUAAAGAAUUCACUGGAGGGGCCAGCCUGGUGGUGCAGCAAAGUUCCCAUGUUCUGCUUUGGUGGCCCGGGGUUUGCCGGUUGGGAUCCCGGGUGCGGACAUGGCACUGCUUGUCAAGCCAUGCCAUGGUGGGUGUCCCACAUAUAAAGUAGAGGAAGACGGGCAUGGGUGUUAGCUCAGGGCCAGUCUUCCUCAGCGAAAAGAGGAGGAUUGGCAGCAGAUGUUAGCUCAGGGCUAAUCUUCCUCAAAAAAAAAAAAAAAGAAUUCACUAGAUUGGGUUUAACAACCAAACAUAGAUGACAGCAAAGUAGUAAGUGAGCUUGAGGGUAGGGCAAUAGAAAUUAUUCAAUCUGAAGAAUAGGAAAAAUAAAAACCAAAUAGAACCCCAGGGAUCAAUGGGACAAUAUCAAAAAGGGUAACAUAAAUGCAAUUGGACUCCCAGAAGGACAGAAGGCGGGGAGAGAGGGUUAAAAAAAAAAAAAAAAAAAAGAAGAAGAGGAAUUGAUAGCUUAAAACUCAACAAUAAGAAAACAAACUCUGAUUUUAUUUUUUUUUAAGAUUUUUUUGUUUUUCCUUUUUCUCCCCAAAGCCCCCCAGUAUAUAGUUGUAUAUUUUAGUUGUGAGUCCUUCUAGUUGUGGCAUGUGGGACGCUGCCUCAGCAUAGCCUGACGAGCAGUGGCAUGUCUGCGCCCAGGAUCCAAAGCGGUGAAACCCUGGCCACCGAAGUGGAGCGUGAGAACCCAACCACUCGGCCACGGGGCCAGCCCCAUAACUCUGAUUUUAAAAUGGGCGAAAAAGUUUACCUGGCAGAUGAGAUGCCGUGAUCACAAAGGUGGUUUCCCCAGGACAAGGCUCAUCCAAUGCUCACCCCUGUGAUUUCCCCACGUGUCCUAGGAGGGGACUGCUCUGUGUUCACGUUCUCCCCUGAAAAAAAUGGGCAAAAAGCCUGGACAGACACCUCACCAAGGAAGAUAUACAGAAGGUACAUAAGCCAAGUAACUCAUGAGUCAAAGAAAUAAUCACAAGAAAAAUUAGAAAAGAUUUUGAACUGAAUAACAAAAAUAUCAAAAUUUGAGGAGCUAAGGCAAUGCUUAGAGGAAAACUUAGAGUCCUAAAUGCCUGUAUGAGAAAAGAAGAAAUAAGUGCCUAAAGUCAAGUACCUGAGGAUCAACCUUAGGAAGCUGAAAGCGAAGAGCAAAGUAACCUCAAAGUAAGUAGAAGAAAGGAAAUUCCAGUUCCAGAAACAAAAAACAAAACAAAACAAAAUAAUUGUUAAAACAGCAAGGCCAAAAAGUAGUUCUUUGAAAAGAUCAACAAAAUUGAUAUACCUUAGCUAGAGCAAUUAAGAAAAAACAGAAAUACACAAGUUAGUAAGAUUAGGAAUGAAAGAGGGCUAUUGCAACAGAAAUUGACAGCAUUAAAAGAAGAAUUAGAGAAUAUUCUGAACAAUGUCAGCGCUACAAAUUCAACAGGUUAGAAGAAAGGGACAAAUUCCUUGUAAAAUGCUGACACAAGAUGAUAAAAUAGAAAAUAUAAAUAGAAUUGUGUCUAUUAAAGAAGUUGAAUUCAUUAAAAAAAAAAAAUCUUCCACAAAGAAACUCUAGGCCCAGAUGAUUUUACUGGUAGAUUCUACCAAAUAUUUAAGGAAGAAAUAACACAUAUCUUAAACAAAUUAUUUUUAAAAACAGAGGAGGAUGGAACACUUUCCAAGUCAUUUCAUUGAGUCCGUAGAACUCUGGUUCCAAAACUUAAAAAACACAUUUUAAAAAUUGCAAGCGAAUAGUCUUCGCUUGGGUGGAAAACUCCAUAAGAAAAUAUGAGCAAAUUCAAUCUAGCAGCAGAUGAAAAGGAUAAUACAUUAUGAGCAAGUGGGAUUUAUCCCAGUCAUGCAAAAUGGGUUUGGCAUUUGAAAAUCAAUGUAAUUCACCAUACUAGCAUCAUAAAGGAUAACCAUACUUCAGUAAAUUCAGGAAAAGCAUUUGACAAAACUCAACACAUUCACAAUAAAAACUGUUAGUAAACUAGGAAUAAUAAGGAAAUUCCUCAAUCUGAUAAAGCCCAUCUAUUAAAAAAAAAAAACCUACCGUUAAUAUCCUGUUUAAUAGUGUUCCGUAAGACUGGGAACAAAGUAAUACCAAAUCUAUUUAACAUUGUACUGGGGGUCCUAGCCACUGCAAUAAGGCAAGGGAAAAAAGGCACAAAAAUCUGAGAGAAGAAUUAAAACUGACUCUCUUUGUUGAUGACAAGAUUAUUUAGAUAGAAAAUCCUACGGAUUCUACAGCUACUAGAACCACAGGAUACAAAAUUACUGUCCAAAAUUUAACUGUAUUUUAUAUACUGAGAGCAAACAACUGGAAAUAAAAUCUUAAAACAUUUCCAUUUAUACUAGUCUCCCCCAAACCGUGAAAUUAGAAGUAACAAGAGACUUGCAAGACCUACACUGAAAACUAUAAAACAUUGUUGAGAGAAAUUACGGGAUAUUUAAAUCAACAGAGCAAAAUGCCAUGCUCAAGAUGUGGAAGGCACACUACCCCGAAGACACCAACUUCCUCCCGCACGGAUCCAUAGGAUUGGCACACUUCUUCUUAAAGGGCUGGAUAGCAAUUAUUUUAGGCUUGUGUGCCAUAUGGUCUCUGUUGCAACCUCUUAACUCUGUCAUUGUAGCGUGAAAGCAGCCACAGACAAUAAAGAAAGGAACAGGCAGGGCUGUGUUCCAAUAAAACUUUAUUUACAAAAUAGGUGGCUGGCUGCCACGGGCUGGGUUUGCCCAAAUUUAUAAAUUGAACACAAUCUCAAUUGUAAUCCAAGCAGGAUUUUAGUGGAAAUUCACAGUCUGAUCCUAAAAUUUAUUUGAAAAUUCAAAAGACUUAGAAUAUCCAAAGCAGUCUAAAAAAUGAAGAAGAAAAAGAACUUACAUUAUCUUACUUUAAUACCGACCAUAGAACCACCAUAAUCAAGAAAGUGUGGUCCUGGCGAAAGGACCGACAGACCAACAGAAUAGAAGGGAAAGCCCCGAAAUGGAGCCGUAUUUCCACAGUCAGUUGAUUUUGAAAAAGGCAUCAAAGCAAUCCAAUGAAGAAAAGAAAAUCUUUUCCACAAAUGGAUCUGGAAUCGCCAUACGUUCUUACGGAAAAAAAUGAGCCUCAGUGCCCAUUUCAUACCACACAAAACUCAAAAUGAAUUCAAGACGAAUCAUAGUGAUAAGCAUACUAGACAAAGCCAUAAGCUUCUGAAGGAAAACAGGAGAAUGUCUUCAGGAUUUGAGGGGUCGACAAAAAUUUCUUAGGUCACAGAGAAUAAGAUAAAAUUUGAUAAAUGAAAUUUUAUUAAAUAAAAAACUCCUGCUCAUCAUCAGGUUUCGUUAAGAAAAAUAAAUAGGCAAGCCACACUGGGAGAAAAUAUUCGCAAAACAUAUAUCUGAAAAAGGACUAGUGCCCAGAAUAUGCCUAUUUUUAAAAUAGGCAUAUAGUCCUUUUGCAGAACGCCUAUUUUUAAAAAGCCUCCAAUCAAUAAGGCUGAGACUAGCAACUAAAUUUUAAAACAGGCAAAAGAUUGGAACAGGCACUUUACUGAAGAAGAUGUAUGAAUAGCCAAUAAUGAAAAAUAUUCAACAUGACUAUGUUCAACAUCAGGGACGUGUAAAUUAAAACUAUAGCACACAUCCAUUACACACGCAUCAGAACGGCUAAAAUUGAAAUACCUGACAGCAUUAAAGAUUUCUGAGGAUGUGGAGCUGGAAAUCUCAGACGUUGUUGGUGGGAACGUGAAAUGGGACAACCGUUUUGGGAAAAGGUCUGGGAGUUUCUUGGAGAACUAAACGAUGCCUACCCGAUGACACAGAGUUCCACUCUCUGAUGCGUGCUGAGAGAAAUGAAAGGACAUUUUCACAAAAAGUCUUGCACGGUCAUGUUCACAGCCACUUUAUUCAUAACAGCCCCCAGUUGGAAAGAGCCCUCGUAGCACCAGUAGGAGCACGUUGGAACAAACCGCGGUUCGUUCCCUCACUGGAAUCUACUCACCAACGGGAAGGAACGAGCUGCCGCUGCCCACAGUAAAGGUGAACCUCAGAAACAUUGCCCUGAGUGAAAGGAGCCUUACACAAAGGAAGCGUAGAGUAUGACCACAUUUAUAGGAAGUCCUAGAAGAGGCAAAAUAAAUCUGCGUUGGAAGAAAAUCAGAACAGGGGAUGCCUCUAGGAGACUGCAGGUGGGGAUUGAAUAGAAAAGGGCAUGAGGGUACUUUCUGGGUUAUGAUGAUCUUCUGUAUCUUGACAUAUUUCAAAUUAUACUCAUGUACGUUUUUGUCAAAACACAGAAUAUGACAGCUAAUAUGUGCACAUUUCAUUGUAUAUAAUAUCCCCCCCUUUUUUUUUUUGCUGAGGAAGACUGUCCCCGAGCUAACAGCGUGCCAGUCUUCCUCUAUUUUGUAUGUAAGAGCCGCCACAGCGUGGCCUGGUGAGCCGUGUAUGUCCACGCCCGGGAUUCGAACCCACAAACUGCAGGCCGCAGAAGGGGAACGCGCAAACUUAACCACUAUGCCACUCAGUGGACCCUCCAUUUUUUUAUUGUGGUAAAAUAUGUUACAUAAAGUUUUCAUUUUAACCAUUUUUAAGUGUGCAAUUCAGUGCCAUUAAUUACAUUCACAAUGUUGGGCAACCGUCACCACUAUACUUGAAACCUCAUCGCCCCAAACAGAACUGUGUCCCCAUUAAGCAGUAACUCCCCACUUCCCCCUCCCCCAGCCCCUGUAACCUCUCAUCUACUUUCUGUCUCUAGAAUUUGCCUAUUCUAGAUGCCCGGAGCUGCGCUGUGCUGGGAGACGGAGCUGAGCUGUCAGUGCUGGGGCAGCGGGUGAAAGCAACAAGCCAAAGACGAAAGGGGGAAGCUUUAAUCACUUACUGCGGUGACAGAAGCGAGAAGGCACCGACGCCCCGUUCCAUCUUCCCCCAUGAGUGGCGCACCUGUGGAGGGUCAGGUGGAGCAGAGCACGUGUUGAGGGGACCCCACAGGGAGGAGGAGGGGUGGGUGUGGAGGAGGACAGCGGGGAGUGGAGGAGCACUGGGCCCUGAGUCAGGGGGGCAGUAUCUUGGUGGUCCCCCCUCAUCCCCACCUAAAGAGGCCUCACAGAGGCGCCUGGAGAAGAGCCCUGCCUGAGGUCGCAGAUAGCGACCUAGGAAUGGAGGCACCCGGCUAGGAAUGUAAAUGGGCGAGGAGAAGGCCGGCCAGGGGCAGAGUCCUCGCCUGCAGCUCCCUCAGAGCCCGCAGUGCCCGCCGCCGGGCCGGGCUGCUGGGGGAAGGGAGCUUCCCCACCCCUCCCCGCAUGGCCACCAGGGAAAGCGUUUGUAAUGGCCUGUGGCGGCCAAAAAGUCGCACAAAGACGUUUAACCCGGAGCCCGACUCCUCACUACAUAUUUCAAGCUCCUGGCCCCCACCCGAGAGGCUCUAACGCAGCAGGUUUGUGGUGGGGCCCAACGGCUCUAAAUCUAACAAAUGUCGCCACGGUCCAGACUGCGCUUUGAGAACCACGGAUAUCGAGGACAGAGCCCAGGCUGAGAGAGCUAACAUGGCAGAGGGAGUUUCAGGGCCUGACCUGGUGGCUGAGCAUGCGAUGUACAUCUGCUUUAAAGAUUUCCUAUGUCUCAAAGACAAGAACAAUGUUCUUAAAGAUCAGGAUGUAACUUCCCCCACACGGGCAUUUCUUUAAGGAUAAGCUUCUCUCCCUCCACUACGGACUGAUUGCUGACCUGCUGUGCUCACCUUGUGACCACCUGUGUUCACCAAAUUGCGGUGCCAGUGAAGCAAUCUCGUGACUAUUCUAAAAGGGACAUUCCUGUCACAUGUGAUGUAUGCUCUUUGUUCCAAGAUGAUAUAUAACCACACUGUACACCCCACUUCUUUGGCGCCCUUCCUGCCUCGGAGAAGGACCUAGUCCCCAGAUCUGGCUCAUAAUAAGCUCACCCCAAUUUUCAUUUAUAGAUGGACUAUGGACUAUUUGUGUUGACACUGGCAAGAAGGGAAGGAAGGGAGAGACAAGUUAAGUCACUCUUCUCAGGAAUAUCAAUGCUGACGCCUCCUGGGAACCAGGAGAAAAUGGAAGCUGAAGGGCCCGCCCCAGAUGUCUGGGGGGUGGGGCAGCCCUGCAGCACCGGCACCAGCUGCCCGGAGAGUUGGGGACACGCCAUUCUGCAGCAUGGCUGCCCUUCCCGAGCCCCGGGCUCCUGUUCCAAAGAGUGCCCAGGUUUAGACUUCUGACUUCCUUGCCAUGUGAGGCCAGAGUCACAGAGACGCUGACGGGAGAGAGAAAAAUGUCACUCCUCACGCCACCUACACUGUUAUCCUGGCACCAUCUCUGGGGCAGCUGUCAGUAGAUUUUCCCACGAAUUCUGGAGUUGUCUUAUAAACAACACGAGACACCACAGUGUAUUUGUGUGUUAAAAUCAUUGAUUUGUUAAAGGGAAACUUUAAAAGUAUUCCAUCACUAUUGUAAUUCUGUAUUGGGAUUUUUCUUUCAUUUAUUAAGUACACCAGGCAGCUUAGAAAGUGAAAGCCCUGGGAUUGUAGAAGAGAAAAGCAUGUAAGACCCUCUCUCCUCAAGCCAGGAUUAAGAUGUAGCAGCCAUUAAAUUGACAUAUUGUCAAACAAAACCCCAACAGUUCCUGGUGAGCAUAAAGUGGAAUUGGUUUCUUAGGAGGUCUCCUGCACUGUUUGCGCAUGUCUGAGGCAGCGUGUGGUGUGGGGGGGGGGGGGAGGGGGGGCGGGUGCUUUUGUGUCCUCAGGACUCUGAGUUGGACAACUUACUCCCUGUGGAGUGGAGACAGCCACGUGGGCUGCAGAGCUGUCUCCAUCACUGGGAAAGCCCACGUGUAGCUGCUUCCAGGGGUAUGCUCUGGCUCCAGGCUCAACCCAGUGUCUGAGAGUUAACUGUUUUCCAUCUGACAUCAGCUCGCUGUCUGACACACAGAUGUCUUCAACAGGAGUAGAAAUACUGGUAGACAUGACAGAGGGGUUGUUUUUCAAGCUUAAUGUGCCUUCACUGUGACUCCUCUAGGGCCGUCCUAUAGAACUUUCUGAGAUGCCAGAAAUGUCCCACAUUUGUACUGAGCACUGGAAAUGUUGCUAGUGUGACUGAGGAACUGAAUUUUUAACUUUAUUUAAUUUUAACUCAUUUUUACGUAAAUAGCUGCAUAUGGCUAGUGGCUGUUGUAUUGGACAGCACAGUUCUAGCCUCAAAUGCCACCAGCUUCCUUUGGAAAAAUAAGUUUUAUUAAAAUGUUUAUUCUAUUUGACACUCAGCCUUUACAGAUAAUCCUCUUGAAUAUUAUAUCCGCUUAAGGAUUUGGAGAAAUACAGUGUAGACGUUAUUUGUUAGAAUACGCCUACAGGACUUUUUUGUUAAAAAAUUUUAUCAGUCCUACCUCCUGGGGAGGAAAUAUAGGCUUUCUUAUUUCUGAGAGUCACAAUUUCUGUGCUGCAGCCACCAGCACUUCCUUUUCUCCUGAGUUCCAGUGAGCAGCAAUAAAACUCCCCUUCCUGCCCCGAAGCUGAACAUUUCCCAGGAACCACAAAUAAGAGGACACAUCUGUGUCUCAGCUUCCUGCUCUCUGGUCCUACACCAGCAACGUCCUCUACUGCAUCGCUUUUCUUCUGUCAGCACUUUCCAGGUGUUCCUCUGACCGUUUGGCAGCUUCAGCAUCACGUGCGUACUUAGCAGUGCGUCCCGCGCAGAAGAGGCCACGGUGCGACGUGUGUGCGUGCAGGUGCUGCGCACCGUGGCCUCCACCCCGCGUGCUUCGGGAAGGUGGUGGUCUUUCCUUGCAGCUCAGUUCGGUGCCGGACGCAUGGAGGGGUCCUUUGUCUCAUCCCUCAGCCUCAGAGCAGUAUCAUGCAAAGCACAUAUCAGAAGGAAAUAGAUUUUAUUCAAAGGUCCAUGGGGUGGCGGUAGGGGUCAUCUUAGAGUUCCUGUCACUAACAGAAAAUUUCUCCUUAGAGCUUUAGAAAACCUGUGUAGUUACCCCUGAAGCAUUUUUCUUUUUCUGCCCUCAUCAGAGGAAAUUGUGGGUAUGCAUCCUUGUAUUCCAACAAGUCCACCACCAACAGCAAUGAAAACAACAGCUACAAUUUAUCGAGUAAUAACUUACAUGGCACUUUACAAGUGUUAUUACCUUUGGUCUCACACUUUAUCUCUAGUUUAAGGAUGAGAAGCCUGAGGUUUGGAGGUGUUAAGAAAUUCAACAUCUGCCUUGUGGGUUUUUUUUUUUUAUUUUAAAUUUUAUUUUGAAUGAAUUAUAGAUCCACAGGAGGUUUCAAGGGUAGUAUAGAGCAGGGUAGAGCAUGAUUCUAGUACAGUAGCAAAACCAGGACUCUCACAAUGUGUGUGUGUUUGUGUAUGUGUGCAGUUCCAUGUCACACGUGUCGAUUUGUGUAACCACCAAUGCAAUCAAGAUACAGAACUAUUCCAUCACUACGAUCUCCCUCCUAUUACCCCUUUAUAGUCACAACCACUCCUUCCACCCGUUCUUACUCCCUGGCAACCACUAAUAUGUCAUUUCAAGAAUGAUAUAUAAAUGGAAUCAUAAGUGUGUGACCUUUUGAAGUUGGCUUUUUUCACUCAGCACAACGCUGUUGCGAUUCAUUCAAAGUAUUGUAUGUAUCAAUAGUUCAUUCCGUUUUUUUGCUGAGUAGUAUUCCAUGGUGUGGAUGUACCACAGUUUGAUUAACCAC